GGUUUUGAGAAUCGGCGCAAUCGGAUAACACUAGCGGAAUUGUUUUUUGCAAUUCAGCUGCUAAUUCUGAAGUAUCCAAAGCCAGGCGUAACUCUGGGUCUGGCCAUGUCUUUGAUCACAAGACGUGGGAUAAUCCUCAAAUGGGUUGUCAUAAAUACUAUCGCAUUUAUGUCGUUGGCACCAGAAGUAGAAGAGGCCGUGUUUUCAGGAACAAUGAUUAUGUUGGCUGUCCUCUACAUUUAUGGAGCCAGCAUCAUUCUUGUACUUCCUGACAUGAUUCGGACACCACUGGAUGAGUGAAGACAAUUCUAGAAGGAUAUGAAACU
Schistocerca serialis cubense is the source of this 326-nucleotide long non-coding RNA. RefSeq lists it as uncharacterized. The record is from RefSeq and is a predicted model, not a curated record. The transcript is spliced from 4 exons. Lineage: Eukaryota; Metazoa; Arthropoda; Insecta; Orthoptera; Acrididae.